GACGUAGGGCGCGAGCGUUGUCCGGAUUUAUUGGGCGUAAAGAGCUCGUAGGCGGUCUGUCGCGUCUGCUGUGAAAACUCAGGGCUUAACCCCGAACUUGCAGUGGGUACGGGCAGACUAGAGUGUGGUAGGGGAGACUGGAAUUCCUGGUGUAGCGGUGAAAUGCGCAGAUAUCAGGAGGAACACCGAUGGCGAAGGCAGGUCUCUGGGCCACUACUGACGCUGAGAAGCGAAAGCAUGGGGAGCGAACAGG
Molecule: ribosomal RNA, 253 nt
Filed under: uncultured bacterium
Lineage: Bacteria
Description: partial 16S ribosomal RNA
Rfam family: Bacterial small subunit ribosomal RNA
Source: RNAcentral